RNAcentral lists this ribosomal RNA (497 nucleotides) under uncultured bacterium. RNAcentral's name for it is "partial 16S ribosomal RNA". It matches the Rfam family "Bacterial small subunit ribosomal RNA", at positions 28 to 507 of the family's 1533-position model. The record is from RNAcentral.
GAUGAACGCUGGCGGCGUGCCUAAUACAUGCAAGUCGAGCGAACAGAUGAGGAGCUUGCUCCUCUGACGUUAGCGGCGGACGGGUGAGUAACACGUGGAUAACCUACCUAUAAGACUGGGAUAACUUCGGGAAACCGGAGCUAAUACCGGAUAAUAUAUUGAACCGCAUGGUUCAAUAGUGAAAGACGGUUUUGCUGUCACUUAUAGAUGGAUCCGCGCCGCAUUAGCUAGUUGGUAAGGUAACGGCUUACCAAGGCGACGAUGCGUAGCCGACCUGAGAGGGUGAUCGGCCACACUGGAACUGAGACACGGUCCAGACUCCUACGGGAGGCAGCAGUAGGGAAUCUUCCGCAAUGGGCGAAAGCCUGACGGAGCAACGCCGCGUGAGUGAUGAAGGUCUUCGGAUCGUAAAACUCUGUUAUUAGGGAAGAACAAAUGUGUAAGUAACUAUGCACGUCUUGACGGUACCCAAUCAGAAAGCCACGGCUAACUACGUG